This is a long non-coding RNA of Anolis carolinensis (green anole), 4971 nucleotides long. RefSeq lists it as uncharacterized. Lineage: Eukaryota; Metazoa; Chordata; Lepidosauria; Squamata; Anolidae. The transcript is spliced from 3 exons. The record is from RefSeq and is a predicted model, not a curated record.
UCCAAGCGUUUUGUUGUUGAACUUGAAGCCCGAGUUGUAAACAUUCUUUGACUCAACCCCCCACUUCCCCACCUUCCUCUAAGUAUCUGGAGAGAGGAUGGCAUUCAAAGGAACUUGGUGAUUCACUGGGGGAUAGAAAGGUAGAGGGAGAAAAGUCAAGGAGAACGCGUGGGCCUGUGUCCUCCUCCUCCUUGUUCAGUAUUUGGAUGAAGACAUUUAAAGUAUUCGUUGCGUUAAAAGAAACAGCAACCAGUUGUGUACAAAUAGAUGCCAGGUUUAGUGAAUUCUGUUGAGAGGCGUGGAUUUAAGCAAGGAGAAAUGAAGGCAACGGUUUGGGGACGGUCGCUGGAACUGUUCGAGAUUUUCCAGCUGUCAGACCCAUGUGGUGGGAAGAAUAACAAUUUGAAGACAGCCUGCAGUUUGCAAACUCUUUCUGAAAGACAAACGUCGAGUCCAUGGAAAGGUGCUGAGGAUGGCGAGGGAAACAGCAGAAAAUAUGUCCGGAAGUUGGCAUGAUUAUCUGAAUGCAGAUCCGGCCCCUCCUUGAAACGUGGAUUGCUGGGAGAUGUAGUUCUUGUGUACAGAACAGCAAGAAGGAAUCCUUUUCCAACUGGAAGUUUGGGGAUGACACCAAAUGACAUCAAGUUUGCAGAUGACACCAAAUUGGGAGGGAUAGCCAAUACUCCAGAAGACAAGAGCAGCAUUCAAAACGAUCUUAACAGAUUACAGAGAUGGGCCAAAACUAACAAAAUGAAGUUCAACAGGGAUAAAUGCAAGAUACUCUACUUAGGCAGAAAAAAAUGAAAUGCAAAAAUACAGAAUGGAGGGAUGCCUGGAUCCACAGCAAUAAGUGUGAAAAAGAUCUUGGAGUUCUCGUGGACAAGUUAAACAUAAGCCAACAAUGUGAUGCUGCUGCUAAAAAAGCCAAUGGAAUUUUGGCCUGCAUAAAUAGGAAUCUAGUGUCUAGAUCCAGGGAAGUCAUGCUACCUCUCUAUUCUACCUUGGUCAGACCACACCUGGAACCACACUGUGUCCAGUUGUGGGCACCGCAAUUUAAGGAAGAUGUUGACAAGCUGGAAUGUGUCGAAGGGCGACUAAAAUGAUCAAAGGGCUGGAGAACAAGCCCUACGAGGAGCGGCUUAAAUAACUUGGCAUGUUUAGCCUGCAGAAGAGAAGACUGUGGCUGCAUGUGGCUGUUUUGGAAAAGUUUUGUUGUUGCAUGUCUUCAAGUGGUUUCUGACAUGCCACUCCUAAGGCUAUCAUGGGGUUUUCUUGGCAAUACUUGUUCAUAGGGUUUUGCCUUUGCUUUCCUCUGAAGGCGAGAGAGUGUGACUUUCUGAAGGCUGUCAGGUGUCCAGUAGGUUUCUAUGAUUGAGCAGGGAUUCAAAUCUAUAAGCAUAGUUCAGUGCUUAAACCACUACAACAUGCAGGUUCUGUUUUCAGAACCUUGUAAAGUUGAUCAGAAUUAUCAUUUCUACAUUUCUCAGACUUAGAAUUGCUUAAGAAGAGCUUAGGUUAGUUUAGAUUAGUGGACAACCAUUUGGCAAUGAGUUAAACCCUUCAAAGAAGAUAUUAAUACAUUAUUUGAGAACUCAGAAAUACUGGACCACUCUAACAACCACCAUGUCAGACUACACAGAGAAGCCAUUGACAUCCAAAAGUAUAUGGAUAAUGUCAACAGAAAGGAGGAAACCAUGGAAAUGAACAAAAUCUGGCAACCAGUAUUAAAAAGCUCUAAAAUCAGGACAGAAAAUAAAGAACAACAUACUGAAAACAGGGGAAUUCCAGACAGGAAACAAUUGGGGCCAGCUAACACCUACCAACAAAGGAGUCCUCCAGGCAGGAAGCAGCCAGGCUUUGAAGCUGCAAGGCUAUUCAGUGCUAAUCAAGCUGACCAAUUGAAACAUUCACAUUUGCAGACAGGAGUUCUUUCUCCCACUCUGGACAUUCCACAGAUAUAUAAACCCCACUUGCCUAGUUUCCAACAGACUUCACAAUCUCUGCCGAUGCUUGCCACAGAUGUGGGCAAAACGUUGGAGAGAAUGCUUCUGGAACAUGGCCAUACAGCCCGGAAAAUUCACAGAAACCCAUUAAUACUUUCCAUAACAAACUCUCUGUCCCAUCAUUUCACACCUGUAUAGAUACAGAGCUAUAAUAAAAACACUAACUUUAUCAGAAAAGAUACACACAAAACUUUUGAUCAAGAGGGUCAACCCCUCCCCAGGGCGACACAGUAUGAGACUAAGUGAGACAUGUUUAUUAGUUUGAUGCAACCCUUAUAUAUAAUCUUUGUAAACAAGAUGCCAAAGCAUUCCAUAGUCAAUGACUGAGCAUGUCUGGAACAUACAUAACAAAUAUUUGGCCAGUGUUUAUUAACUGAUUCUUCUGAUUUCCUACUUCAUGAUCUGGUCCAAAGUGGUUCAAGCAAGCUUUGUAGUUACAUACUUGAAUUAAUCGAUUGACAGUUCAAAAGACUGUCACAAACAGCACAAAUGGUGACAGGUACACAAAACAAACACUUUGGCUCUUCAUCCAGACUUUUACGCUUUGUUGCUGUCCUACAACUGAUAUAAAAAGCCUGUCUCCAGCACUGGAGUAUUACAACCAUGGGAGUAUCUACACUGUAGAAUUAAUGCAGCUUGACUCCAUUUUAACUGCCAGAGCUCAAUGCUAUGGAAUCCUGAGAUUUGUAGUUUGGUGAGGCACAGCACUCUUUGGAAGAUAAUUUUUGCUGGCAGUGAGAUUUUCUUUUAAAUCAUCAGCACCAGAGAUUCAUGGAAAGGUAACUGCUUCCUAGAUGAGUCAAAUUCUGUUGACUCAUCCACAGCAAGUCAAUAUCACAAGAUGUAAUAUCCCACUUAGUUUCAGACUUUUAUUUAUUAAACAUCACUCUGAUGUAGAAGGGCUUAUUCAUCCCAAACCCAGUUCUAAAUGCUGUUAAAGCUAUAAAGCCAAGAUCAAGAGAAGAGGUUUAUUUCUCUCCAGACUGUUCUCACUGCCAAAUGGUGUUUCAGAAAACCCCACUGAGAUGAAUUAACACCUCCAAAGGGGGAGAUUAGAGGCCCCUUUCAAAUGGCUCCUAGGGAACUCUUCUCUCUCCUGCCCCCCAUGCUUAAUCUGUCUGAACCCUCAAGAUAAUAUGAAGAUCCCAAAUAAUUUGAGUGCUGUAGGGUCAUAAACAUGGUCAGGCACGGGUUUUAAAUUAACAACAAUGUUAUUUAUCUCUGAGUUAUGGGAUACAGUAGAGUGAUUGCCAAGCUAUUUCCAUUAAUUUAAGUGCACAUUCUUUUUAUUAAGAAGCAGAAAUGUUACAGGGAGUGAAAAGCAUCUCAGAAGGCUUUGCAAAGCAUCCUGCAGCUGUGGAUAGUUUCUUUGUCUACACGAGAGGUUCUCAUCCUGGGAUCCCCGGAUGUUUUUGGCCUACAACUCCCAGAAAUCUCAACCAGUUUACCAGCUGUUAGGAUUUCUUGGGAUUGAAGGCCAAAAACAUCUGGGAACCACUGGUCUACAACCUGGAACAAAUUCACUGUCCCACUGAUUCACUGCCCCACCACUGAUUGCCACACAAAUCUGAGUCAGAAAACCCGUUAUGUUUGCUGGAUGAGGAAAGAUUCAAGGAAAUGGGAAUGCAAUUCAGAUCCAAAAUCUAGCUUUCUUGGGAGUGUUGUGGUAAAAGGAGUGCACGGCUAUACUUGUUCAAGUUUCACAUCAACUACAAAUAGGGUUGGGCAAGAAUUGGAAGGAGGAGAUGGAGUGUCUGAACUCCUUUAAUGGCAACAUUUAACAUUUGUGCGCGUGAGGACAGAUAUAUUUAAGUGUCUCAGGUGAUAGUUCUAGCCAUGAUAGCUACAUGAAACAUCUAGGUUCUGAAGCUACAAGUUCCCACCUCCAAAUAUCAAGCUAAGACUUGUUGCAUGAGAAAACCAGCCCUGGGUCCUUGGGAUGUCUACUUUACCUGGGCCAGGUUCCCACUGACUUAAGUCUCCUUUUUUUCUUUUCUCUCUCUCUGGCACCUGCCAGAGCACUAACCCAAUGAAAGGCAAAGAGCACUCCUUAGAUGCCUUGCCAUCGUCUUCCUCUGAAGGUUUAUAUGAUGUGCCAUGACAACCAGGAGUAGAUUAUCCCUGGCCAUGACUUACUGGGAAGCCUGGCUUGUUAAAGGUACUUUGGAAAACUAUGUCUCUCAUGUAUAUAAUUGCCCUAAACGCUCCAUGUUUUUUUCCUAUGUGUUCCUAUUUUGCCUAUAUGUUGUGUUAACCUAAUGUUUUAUGCUCCUGAGAUCCCCAGUCCUUCCCUUGGAGGGAAACUUUGUUCCUGAACCCAAAGAUGUCUUGCCUCCCACACAAUUAUAUAGCCUGGGGAAAAGAAACUACGCUGGGAACUUCCUCAUCAAGUUCCCAGUUUCACCUAUAUUUUUGGAUUUUACCUGGACAUUGCAACACACGACUUCUAUUCAGGUGGGGGAAAUCACCUCUCCCUGCCCUUGGGGAAGAACCAAUUUCACCACCCUGCGCCUUUGAUGAACGGGACCGCUCGCAUCAGAAGGAAUUAGCAUGUCUACAGCCAAACCCCAACCUCUGUCAUUUUGCAUGAUUAUGUCAGAACAUGAUGUUUUGUUUCUCUGGGGUCUGGAAUCACCAGGCCAGCCCUAUUAAUGGGCCAUGUCAUGUUCAUCUCAUAAGACAAUAGCAUUCCUGGUAGGGCCAGAAACGCCCUCAAUCAUUUUGUUAUUUUUCCUGUUCAAUAAAAGGAACCUCAUUUAUCGAGGCUUAAUCAUCCCUUGUCCCAGCCCAUGCUGGCCAGUGAGCCAAGCCCCUCUCUGUGACUGGUCAGAAUUAGGGGCUUGGCUGAAGCCUGCCAGCUUGUGUAUAAAAAGAACUGUGAAACUGUAUUCUGUAUGCUAUCUACUUUGUGAAUGAAUCACUAGCUAGCAUUUUAUCUGCAGAUAAUAAAAUCUUCCUUGGCUGAAAA